This 442-nucleotide ribosomal RNA is filed under the name uncultured bacterium. Its description in RNAcentral is "partial 16S ribosomal RNA". It matches the Rfam family "Bacterial small subunit ribosomal RNA", at positions 338 to 795 of the family's 1533-position model. The record is from RNAcentral.
CCUACGGGUGGCAGCAGUGAGGAAUAUUGGUCAAUGGGCGCGAGCCUGACCCAGCAACGCCGCGUGAAGGAAGACGGCUUUCGGGUUGUAAACUUCUUUUAAGAGGGAAGAGCAGAAGACGGUACCUCUUGAAUAAGCCACGGCUAACUACGUGCCAGCAGCCGCGGUAAUACGGAGGUGGCAAGCGUUGUCCGGAUUUACUGGGUUUAAAGGGCGUGUAGCCGGGCUGACAAGUCAGAUGUGAAAUUCCGGGGCUCAACCCCGGACCUGCAUUUGAAACUGUUGGUCUUGAGUAUCGGAGAGGCAGGCGGAAUUCCUGGUGUAGCGGUGAAAUGCGUAGAUAUUAGGAGGAACACCAGUGGCGAAGGCGGCCUGCUGGACGACAACUGACGGUGAGGCGCGAAAGCGUGGGGAGCAAACAGGAUUAGAUACCCCAGUAGUC